Planococcus citri (citrus mealybug) is the source of this 3921-nucleotide RNA transcript. RefSeq lists it as uncharacterized. NCBI's taxonomy places the organism in Eukaryota, Metazoa, Arthropoda, Insecta, Hemiptera, Pseudococcidae. The transcript is spliced from 6 exons. The record is from RefSeq and is a predicted model, not a curated record.
UGGAUUCGACGGCUGGGAUGUUAUCUUUGGACUUGGAUUUCGAAUCGCUGACUUGUUUUGACCAUUUUUGAACCAUGAUACUGGUUGUAAUCCGCGAUCAUUCAGUCGAAAUGUUGGUUUCCAUGUCAUCGAGCCAGUCAGGAGUGGUCGUUGUUGGCGCAACAUGCUGUAAGAAUUUUGGCACUGUUUCGUUCAGUGGUCCUAUAAAGCUAUACCUGGAAGCGUAAGGAGAACAUUUGUAUUAUUAUGAAGUUGCUGGAGUUGCUUUGGAGAGCAUUAGAUACGGGUAUAGGAUGAUGUGGUGCCCAAUUUAUCUCAAUCUGUACCAACUCCAACGUGGAACCAAUUUGAAGAUUGUUCUUGGAAAAGAGAAAACGAUUGAUUAUCACCUGAUUGAAGUAAUUCUACAAUAUUACGAGGAAGAGAAAUUAGCUUGUAUAGUUUUGACGAGUAAUGUGACAUAUUGUCCAAUUUUCAAUUCCUAUGAACUCCAACGUGAAACAAAUUCAAGAUCGCCCUCGGAGAGUCAGAAUGGAGAAAACGAUUGGCUAUUGCCAAACUUAAGUCAUUUAACGUUCACAAGAUAGGAAGAGAAAUUCGCUUGUAUGGUUUUGGCAAACAGUGUACCAUAUUGUCCAAUUCUUAGUUCCUAUGAACUCCGGACGUGAAACAAAUUUGAAGAUCUAUCUCAUGAUGGAGAAAAUAAUUGGUUUUUACAAGUAUUAUCAACAAAGUGGUGUACCCAACUAAAGUCAUUUUUCUGGAUUGAAGUCAUUCUUUGUUUAUGAGAUCUUACUUUGGUUGUAAUUGUUGAGAGGAAUAUCUACAUACUCACCUACCCUGCACUGUAAGAAAUCCUGAGAAUUUUCAAUUUGAAGUUGCAUAAAAGGUAGGAAUGGAGCAGAAAGACUUCUACAUCCAGGUUGUUUUUAAAUUAGGUACUGGAGGGUUAAGAAUGUAAUUUAUAAGACUGUCACUAGUUUUUAAGCCAAGUGUUGAGAUAUGGGAGAUUGGUAAUUUAAAAUGAAUACACAAUACGCUUACACAGUCUAAAACAACACUUCUGGUGUGCUAAUCAUCUGCCAGUUGAAGAAAAUUACAGCCUGAAUAAGUACUCAAAUUAUUGUUUAAUCCAAUGCCAACCCAUAUUUAAAAUGAAUUUGAUUGAAUUUUUUGUUGAUGUAUUGAACAUAAAUCAAUAUGAUACUUGAUAAUUGGUCAAAGGCUAAUAGCAUAAGUUGAAAAUUUAGCAGAAUUGCUUUGUAAUGAGGGAGGCAGGAUUUUAAUGCUAUUGCAGAUGUCCUUGUAAUGUAGUGGACUACUUACUUCUUGGAAUCAAUAUGGAGUUGAUUUUAUCAUAAUAGUCCAAUAAUUUUGUCGUAUAGUUCUUCAAUUUCACUGAAUUGGUCUGGUAGUAAUGGCAAGACCAUUAAUUGUUUGGCAAUGUUUUUAGCCAAGAGAUACUCUCUUAUUAUAUAUGUAAGGCCCAAACUUCUUGCUUGUUUUUUCCACUGCCUAAGUAAUUAAUGAAAAUAAUACAUACAAAUAUACAUAAACCAGCAGCGCUGCUGAUGACAAUGUGGAAAAACUGCAUUAAUUACACACAUUGACUCUGUAUCAUAAUCUAAGAUUGAGCAAGCUGUCAAAUGUCAGGCCCAAAUAGCAGACAGUAUUGCUGAAAUUCAGCUGAUUCCAUUAAUUGAAAGUUUAGGCUGUUUAUAGUCUCUUCUGAGCAUUUCUGGCGAAAAUCCAGGCACGUUGUUUUUUCAGUACAGAAAUAUUGUGGAUUUCAUCCUAGGUGUUCCAGGAAGGUCCUCAAUAUCCAUUCAUAGUUUUGUUUGUCUCAUUUUGAGAUUAGGACAUAUAAGAUUGGGAUAAACUAAAAAUUCUGAAUUAACAACAAUCUAACUCAAAUUAUUCUUAGAAAACAAAAAAAAAGCAAUAGAAAAAAUUAUUUUACAGCUAAAAUGAUUUAUUAUACUCACGCAUUGUCAAUGUACACAGUUCCUUCUCCAUCAGAUAGUAAUACACUGCAACUUUCAUUUCUGUAAAAACAACUAGUAUUAGUAUACAGUAGUUGCCGCUUAAUGUGAUCGGGUUGGGACGGAGUGGUUGCUAUUCUAUUAACCGAAUCAUUCCAAUAAACGAAAAAUUAAAAAAAGAUGAUUUAUUGAACUUGUAUACUGUACUACAAUAAUGGUACCUAAAAACGUACAAAAAGUGGAAAUUUUUUGGUGAAAAGCAAGAAUGACAAUUUUAGCAAAAAACAGAACUUAAUUGGCAAAAAAAUGGUACUUUUUGAUAAUUUCUGAAAAAUACGCAAGGCUUUUGAUAAUUUUUGGAAAAAGUGAAAUUCUUUAGCAAUUGCGAGAAUUUAUUCAAAAAGCAAAAAUGUGGCAAUUUUGGGAACUAUUGGCAAAGAAAUGACACUUUUUCAUAACUGUUUUCAAAAAAUGAGAAUUUUUUUGCAAUUUUUGGCGAUUUUAAAUUUAAAAAAGAGCUAAAAAGAUGGACUUCUUGACAAUUUUUGGCAAAAUGCAAGAUCUUUGAAUAAUUUCACCAAAAAACAAGAGGUUUUUGCAAUCUUUGUUGAAAAUGGGAGAUUUUUUUUCAAUUAUUUGGUUAAAAAACGAGACUUUUUGUUUGUUUGUUUUCUUUUUUGACAAAAAAUAUUUCUAUUUCAUUGAUUUUUCCUACUUUUUGAAAAAUUUUCCAUUCCAUUAACCGAAUUUAUUCACCUUUGAUUACCACAUAAAGCGAAAUUCUUUCAAUGUAAAAAGAUACAACCGUUCCGUCCCAACGACUUCCCAUUCUAUUAAGCGAAUUAUUCUAAUAACCGCAAUGAUAAUAAGCGGCAACUACUGUAUUUUCAAACUAUCUAGUUAGGCCUAUCAGAAAUCAUAUUUUACAGCUAAAAUGAUUUACACUCUUAAGUAAAAAUGUGAUGCAAGGGAAGAAGGAACAUGAUACAUAUAAUAUAUCAAAUCAAAUCAAAUGACUUAAUCAUAUAUUUAAAGAAAUGAAUCGAAGACAUAAUACUUUCAAGAUGAAUGAUUUCUAUUAACAAGUAAUUUAUAUAGAGACUAUAUUAUGCAUUCAACACAACAAGCACAAUGAGUACAUAAUAAACUAAAAAGUAAAACAUAAUAAGUAGAAGCAGUGUUACCACCACUUGACUACUUGAAAGUAUAAUGGAGUAUUAUAUACAUCUUAACACUUGUAAAACUUCUUCUCUGUGAAGUAAUUUUUUUUAAUGCAAUGGUAAACUUUAAACAACUUUCCCAGGCUUGAGAAGUGAGUUUUUCAAACUUUUUUUUACAUUUUAUAGUAGUAUAUGGGGCGCUAUAGCACACGCCAGAGCCAUAGUGUUUUUUCCCACAUGCUGUUGCGGAGAUUGCAAAGUGUUUGGACCCAUAUACCACUACUGCAUUUUUUUAAAAUUAAAAAUUUUUUUAAAUGUUUUUUUUUGAAAAAACACGACACACAUUUACUUGGGAAAAAAUUUAUUUGAAUAAAAAAAAGUACAAAAAAAUUAAUUUUAUAAAUUUUGAAAAAGUUUUAAAAAAUUGACAAAAAUGUCAUUCAAAUAAUUUCUUUUGAAUGUUAUCGCUUCUGCGACACAAUGGUGUACUUGGUUGCCUCUGAGCCCACAGUGUCUUUGGUGGAACAGGGGUCGAAGUUGCAAAGGAUAUGCUUCAAAAAACAAAUGAAAAAAACCAAUGGUAUACUUCGUUGUCUAGGAGUCCAUGGUGUCUUUGGUGGAACAGGGGUCGAAGUUGCAAAGGAUAUGCUUUGAAAAACAAACAAAAAAACACAAGAAAAUUAAUUGUUCAAAAAAAAAAUGAACUGAGGGGAUUGCAAAAAUUAAAAAAAAAAUCAACUUACUCUCCGAAAUUUCUGCUCAUGUUGUUCAGCCUUACA